This is a non-coding RNA of Vicugna pacos (alpaca), 1594 nucleotides long. Lineage: Eukaryota; Metazoa; Chordata; Mammalia; Artiodactyla; Camelidae. The record is from RefSeq and is a predicted model, not a curated record.
AACCUGGCUGGCCCAGCUGCGCCCCAAGGCUGCUCCCCACACCCACAGCCCCAGACCCUCACCUAAGGGAACACUGAUCAGGGCUAGUACCAGCCGGGCACGGUGCUUCAAACAUUGUGCUUUUUCUCAUCUGCAACAUGGAAAGAACUGAGGUUUGGGGAGGUGCUGUGGAGUGUGGCCAUAGGUGGCCUGGGCCCAGGACACCACUUGGUAGCAGCCAUGGAGCUACAGGACCGCUUCCCACGUCACCAACUUUGAAAUGACACCCAAGUCUCCUGGGACUACAGGAGGCCAGGCAUUGGUGACUCGAGGCUUUAUCACAAAGACCCCAGCUCAUCCAGGAUGGGGUGACAGAGUGAGCCUCCCUGGGGGGAUACUACCUCCAGGAGUCUGUGGGGCAGCCCACCCCCUUGGCACAGUAAAGAGAGGUGGGCAGGGUGGCAGAGCUGGCCUCCUGGCCCAGAGUUCACCAUCUGACCAGCCUCUCUGGGACACCAAGUCCACUGAGGCCUCCUGUUCUUUCUUUCAGAUGCUGGGAGACGCCAGCCGCCCCCAGGCACUGACAGAGUCUGGGUGGGGUCUGGCCCCCGCCCCUGCCUGGAGCCCAACCAUCCUCACCCCAGGCUCUAAAAAUGCCACCACACUAGCACACACACGUGAGGAAGUGAGAGGUGCAGCCCGAGCCGCCAGCAGCAGCUCAGCGGAGGCUCCGGGGUGAAGCCCACGGAGUGGCCUGGACCCUGGGUGUCUGAAGGGACCCUUGGGAAGGAAGAUUCGGCCCAGCUUCAGAUGGCACCCCAACUGACUGCACCAGUGGCACUCACUGGCUUCCUAGAGGUCCUUCCUGCCACCACCUAGCCAUCUGCGGGAGGCUUGGGAGCUGGCAUCCCUCACCCCAGAGAUGCAAGUUUCCCUACGGAGGAUGGGAGCCAGGCUCCUCUGCUACCUCUGAAAAUGUUCUUGGAAACCUGGAGAGACUUCUGAGGGUCUCGGCAGCAGCCCCCUCAGGGCGGGUCGGGGGACAGGUCUCCUGCUCCUACUCAGGACCAGAUCUCGGGCGCCAGGGGACCUCCGGGGGCCUGAUGAAGCCAGGCAGAGGCCCCACCCAGGAGCCAUGGACACCGCCCCACUGGAGUCCAGGCCCCAGCCAGGGUAUCCAUCCUACCGUAGGCUGCCUGUGCCACCCAGCCAGGGCUGCCACCACCCCAGGCUCAGAAUCGGGGUCCGCACGGGCCAGAUUGCUUGAAGAAAGUCAAGUCAGGAUGGACAUUCUGGCCCUGCCAGGGCCGCUUGCCCUGGGGUCCUGGCUCCUGCCCCUGCCCUCCUUAGUGACCUGGAGGCGGGACUGUCACAGCCAUACCUGGGGCCACACCACAGACUCAGGGUGGGGAGGCUGUCUUUCCAGAUGACUGAGGCCAGCGGGACACAGGCCCCUCCCCCAACUAGGCCACUCUCCCUCCCCUCCCCUCCGCCCCCCUCCCCCUCAGCUUUUCCUUUUCCUCGAAUCAGCUCGGGCUCCAGAAAAACAAACACAUUAACCACUUGAUUGGCCCAGGCUGUGAGCAGAGGCAGACGCAGGCUGCAGAGCCCAGAC